CGCCGUCGUGGCCCCUCCGCCGCCGCCUCCCGCCGCCGGGCGCACAUGAAGAUUGCGUACGCCAGGACAGUCGCGAGGGAGAGUAGGCGCAAUGUGAAGCAGAUGAGCGAGUAAAUCAUGAAGCCGCCGUACAUGUUCUGCAUACUGCAAACGAGGAGCUAAUUUCCUGGCAGCCGGCUUCAGGAUGCUUCAAGCCUGUCUCUGCCGAUGUGGCCCUUAAAAACCUCUCAAGCUGUGGCUGCAAGCAGCCCUGUUCCUUUCUGACUUUGGCAUCUAAUUCCCGCAAAUAUAGAUAAUUGAAUUACGCAUUUCGUUAGGGCGAGCGGAAAACAACCAGCAACCACUGGAUCACUGAGGAAGACAAAGUCAGUCACUUUUUUUUUUUUUUCUUAAUUCAGCAUUUUUUGGGUUUUGGUGACAUUUUAUCAAGUAUGACCUCAACCAGAGGCAGAGAGAAGCAGCUGAGGGUUGUUUAUUGCACACAGAGUAGCUCUCCCUGACAGCAGCACUAAUGGAAAUAACACUUACAAAACUGUCGUGUUCGUGGUCUGAGGAGCAAAACGUGAGCCCUGGUUUCCGUGCCUUGUUCUGACAACCACUUCCCCAGUGAGCACCAGCAGACCACUUCACCUCCCUUCCUAGUUACCACUGAUUCAUAGUUGAGAUCAAUUAGUUAAUGUUUGCAAAGUCAGUUGAAGAUGACAAAGCGUUACAUGCUGCUAAUAAAACCAUAAUGAUCCCACUGUUAAACAUUAAACACACAAUGAGGUGUAAAAAAAUACCACAUUUAUGGAAAAUUCCUGCAAGGACAAAGGAUUAGCUCCUAAAAAAAGGAUGAGCAUAAAUUUGUACCACAGGAUUGCAUCUCAAGGGUUUGGCUUCUGCUUGAGUGUUUGCUACUGAUUAUUUGUGUGUCCACGGGCACACCACUAGGGCCAGCAGUCGCUGACCCACUUGAACGUGGCAACUUAAUCCAGAGCUAGCCAAAAACCACCAGAAGGUUUUGGAAAAGGAUGUUCCUUUCCAUUUUGUGCCUCUGCUUCCCAGUCUGCUAAACGGCAUGAGGAUUGCAGCUGUGUAGCCUGAUUUUUGCAGGCAACAUAAUGCAGCAGUUAGCAAACCCUCACAACAUGGUCAUUAGAAGCCUGGGGAGCUGUGCUGGCUGUGAGACACGUCACACCAGAGUGCGAGGAAUAAAAAAGUGGGCGUGUGGGACUUUCUAGGAGAUUUUUCUUGGCAAUGAGUCUUGCUUUAAAUGUAGAACUGGUAGCUGUGCCACUGGUAGGGCCCCAGGUCGCCGCAUGUAGAGCAGCGCAUGUCUGAUGCUCUGACCUACAGGCAAGAAGGAGGAGAGGAACCAGGAAAACCACGUUUGUCUGUAGCUUUGGGCCUGCACGGGGCCACAUUCAUGGUGAUGAGGCACUGGUGUUUCUGGCAGGGCAGAAGCCAUGGGUGGGGAUUUGCACAGCAGGAACUCCAGGUAGUGUAGGAUUUGGCGCAGCAAUUUCAGACAGGAGAACUCCUCUCCAAAAAGAGCAGCCCUUUGACAAGGCAUCCCUCAUUUCCUCCAUCAAACUGCCCUUUGCAAGGAGCACGCCUGAGCUGCAACAGCCUAUUGCAUCUUCCUCCUGAAAUCUGAUGCUGCCCUGCUUUGAUGGCGAUCAGUUGAUGACUGCAGAAAAGCUGAAUCAUGAAAGAGAGGUUAUAAACAAGGUUAUUUUUAACAAAGGAAAUGAAUCCCACAUCAUUCAGAAGUCAGGGCAAGGGACUGUCAGCUAGGGCUUGCAGGUCCCACUUCUGCCCCGACGUUCUUUAUGUCCUGGAGCAAAUUAAAAUCUCUCUAGCCUUUAAUUUACCUCCUUGUAGCAUGGACAAUGCAGCAGACUCCAGUUGUGCUUUCUUUGUACAGCAAAGCUCCUGGUGUGACAAUAAAGCGAUGCUGGGAGCUGUGUGAUGCCAAGGGCUGGCUUGCACUGCCACCCGGCACCUUGCAGAGCUAUUUUCAGCCAUGCAAAACGAUCGCACGCAGUAUUUCAACAAUGUUCAUAGACAUUUCAAAUGCAGAGAGAGACUAACCAGUCUGAUUCCUCUCUCCCAUAUUUCACAGUCUUACAUUUCAAUUCCCACAUGAAGCCCAGUAACUUCUGCUUCAUUUUGCUCACUGUACACUCAAAAUAGACAAGUUUUGCAACCCA
Taeniopygia guttata (zebra finch) is the source of this 2195-nucleotide non-coding RNA. NCBI's taxonomy places the organism in Eukaryota, Metazoa, Chordata, Aves, Passeriformes, Estrildidae. The record is from RefSeq and is a predicted model, not a curated record.